CCUACGGUGGCUGCAGUGGGGAAUAUUUGACAAUGGGGGAAACCCUGAUCCAGCAAUGCCGCGUGUGUGAAGAAGGCCUGCGGGUUGUAAAGCACUUUCGGUUGGGAAGAAAAGUUUGGCGCCAAUACCGCCGAACCUUGACGUUACUGACAGAAGAAGCACCGGCUAACUCUGUGCCAGCAGCCGCGGUAAUACAGAGGGUGCAAGCGUUCGUCGGAAGCACGUAGCGUAAAGCGUGAGUAGGGGGUGAAAUCCCCGGGCUUAACCUUGGAACUGCAUUCGAUACUACAUGGCUAGAGUAUGGUAGAGGGAAGUGGAAUUUCCGGUGUAGCGGUGAAAUGCGUAGAUAUCGGAAGGAACACCAAUGGCGAAGGCAGCUUCCUGGACUAAUACUGACGCUGAGGCACGAAAGCGUGGGUAGCAAACAGGAUUAGAUACCCCAGUAGUC
This 448-nucleotide ribosomal RNA is filed under the name uncultured bacterium. RNAcentral's name for it is "partial 16S ribosomal RNA". It matches the Rfam family "Bacterial small subunit ribosomal RNA", at positions 338 to 795 of the family's 1533-position model. The record is from RNAcentral.